GGCAGAUUUACUUUAUCUGAACACAGGAAAAACUUUUCCUUUUUUUUAAUAAACAAAACAAAGAUCAAGUUGGAACUAUGUUGUUCUUUUGGGUUUUUUUAAGUCCUUAAAUCCCAUACAUAUACACAUAUAUAUUUCUAUUUUAACAUUCUCUUUUCUUUUGACUUGAUGGUCAUAUUAUAAAUGGAAUUAACUACAUUACUAAUGCUUUUAAUUUGAUUUUAAUAGAGCCUAGGGCUGAAGCAUAGAAUAAUCACAUGGCCCAUUAAAACAAAAACACAGUUACAGGGACAAUAAAUAGCAUGUCCAGAUAAACACUUUUAUCUGUGUGUUAGUUUUCUUUAUUGAGCUGUGUAGCCCGUGUGCAGAGACUGGGGUUUUUUAAAACAUUUUUCCAAAGCUGAAGCCCACAUGAUGAGAUUGUUACUGGUUUUGGCAGCAGCAAUGUGAACUUGGUAAAAGAGCCUGGCAUGGGAAUCCACUGAGUCCUGACAUAUCCCAUUUGCCCCAAACUCUUUGAUUUCUGCUCACAGAAUCUGACAUGUGUGGGCAUUGACCUUGCUCUUUUAAAUAAGCUUAUUUUAGAAGACCUCUGCAGAACACUCUGUGUUUGGCCUCGAUGUAAGCUGUUAGGGAAAUGUAGUAAAAACACAGAAGUUGUAUGUUUUGAAUGCCAGAGAUGUUAAGCAGCAGAGCAGUUGGUAAAAGCUGUACUUCUGAUUGCUUUCUGUGCUCUCAACAUGUGUCCUGAAAGAAAAGAAAAAUUAUUUAUCCUGCUUUUGUGUGAUGGUUGUUAUUCAUUUAUUUUUAGGAGGAAGUUCAGGACCAGACUGCUUUUUCAGUCCUGCAUAUUCCAACUUUGGCUCUCAGACACUCAGUGGAGCAAAAGCAGCUUUUUUGAAAAGUGAUUGUUGGAGAUGUCCUGGGUCAGUAUCUCACUGUCCUGUAGAAUCACUCCUAGAAAUGUCUCUGCAGAAAGGUGCUCAGGUGCAGUAGUGACUUUUCCUUACAAAGCAGCACCCUCACCCUGUGUUUCAGGAAGGGCUGUAACCUUCACUGUGGAGAUCUGGUUUCCAUUCAUUACAGGGGAGCAGCUGGGGUGGAAGUUCAAUCCAAGAGCUGCAAUUUUGCCAGUGCCAACAAGGAAACAAAUUACUGGGCCCCAACAUGGCAACACACAUGGGAGAGAGAUUGGAAGUGCCUUUAAGAAACAGCAUGCAGAUGGUAAAACACUGACUGCCAUGAACUUCAUCAGGAAAAAAAAAUAUAAAAGAGAAAAAAGCAGUGGUUUGGAAGCAGCUGUAUGGCAAACUGCAGGCUGA
Molecule: long non-coding RNA, 1322 nt
Filed under: Chloebia gouldiae (Gouldian finch)
Lineage: Eukaryota; Metazoa; Chordata; Aves; Passeriformes; Passeridae
Description: Erythrura gouldiae (Gouldian finch) lncRNA (ENSEGOG00005003115.1)
Source: RNAcentral